RNAcentral lists this ribosomal RNA (423 nucleotides) under Tomopterna wambensis (Wamba sand frog). RNAcentral describes it as "partial large subunit ribosomal RNA". It matches the Rfam family "Bacterial large subunit ribosomal RNA", at positions 1910 to 2505 of the family's 2925-position model. The record is from RNAcentral. Lineage: Eukaryota; Metazoa; Chordata; Amphibia; Anura; Pyxicephalidae.
UGACAAAGUUUAACGGCCGCGGUACCCUAACCGUGCGAAGGUAGCAUAAUCACUUGUUCUUUAAAUAGGGACUAGUAUCAACGGCAUCACGAGGGUUACACUGUCUCCUUUCCCCAAUCAGUGAAACUGAUCUCCCCGUGAAGAAGCGGGGAUAUAAAUAUAAGACGAGAAGACCCCAUGGAGCUUUAAGCUCAACAACACCUCGCUACAAAUAUGUCAUUGUAACCCACGAGCCCUGUCUGUUAGCUUUAGGUUGGGGUGACCGCGGAGUAUAAUAUAACCUCCACGACGAAUAGGCCUAAGACCUUUAUCCAAGAGCCACUGCUCUAAGAAUCAUUAAAUUGACGUAAAAUGAUCCGAUUUUCGAUCAACGAACCAAGUUACCCUGGGGAUAACAGCGCAAUCCAUUUCAAGAGCCCCUAU